CUCAGAGGCGCGAGGAGGAACCACCCACAAGCAGGAAGGCAGCCACGCGACUCGCUCUGGUAACAGCAGCGGUGAAGUCGACAAUCAUUGCCACGGAACCGCUCGGUGGAGCAAUGGACACAGAUCCCCCGUGCAGCCUGCCGCCGACUGCUGCGGCAAGUGCCGAUCGCGAGCAGCAGCACCGAUGAAGACCGCCACGAGGGGGUGGGUGGCGAGCACCACGAGCGCACGGGGCGGGCACAGACACGCGCGGAGAGUCGGGGGGGGGGGGGGGCUCUGUGUACCUGGACCAUCCAGUGCAGAGAUUCGCCGAUGAGCGGCAGCCCCAUGGAGCCACCCGGCAGCGGCAACUUGCAGCUGGGGUCGCGCGUGGCCGCCCACCGCAUCGCCCAGAGUCGCUGCGACACGAGCAGCAGGAGCAGC
Lethenteron reissneri (Far Eastern brook lamprey) is the source of this 423-nucleotide long non-coding RNA. RefSeq lists it as uncharacterized. The record is from RefSeq and is a predicted model, not a curated record. Lineage: Eukaryota; Metazoa; Chordata; Hyperoartia; Petromyzontiformes; Petromyzontidae.